CCUACGGGAGGCAGCAGUAGGGAAUAUUGCUCAAUGGGGGAAACCCUGAAGCAGCAACGCCGCGUGGAGGAUGAAGGUUUUCGGAUUGUAAACUCCUUUUGUUAGAGAAGAUAAUGACGGUAUCUAACGAAUAAGCACCGGCUAACUACGUGCCAGCAGCCGCGGUAAGACGGAGGGUGCAAGCGUUACUCGGAAUCACUGGGCGUAAAGAGCGCGUAGGCGGGAUAGCAAGUCAGAUGUGAAAUCCUAUGGCUUAACCAUAGAACUGCAUUUGAAACUGUUAUUCUAGAGUAUGGGAGAGGUAGGUGGAAUUCUUGGUGUAGGGGUAAAAUCCGUAGAGAUCAAGAGGAAUACUCAUUGCGAAGGCGACCUGCUGGAACAUAACUGACGCUGAUGCGCGAAAGCGUGGGGAGCAAACAGGAUUAGAUACCCCUGUAGUC
RNAcentral lists this ribosomal RNA (440 nucleotides) under uncultured bacterium. Its description in RNAcentral is "partial 16S ribosomal RNA". It matches the Rfam family "Bacterial small subunit ribosomal RNA", at positions 338 to 795 of the family's 1533-position model. The record is from RNAcentral.